Molecule: non-coding RNA, 461 nt
Organism: Paramisgurnus dabryanus
Lineage: Eukaryota; Metazoa; Chordata; Actinopteri; Cypriniformes; Cobitidae
Source: RefSeq, a predicted model, not a curated record
UAGUCGUUGUACUCUAUUGUUAUAAUAUGUCUUUUUGACUGAAUACAUGUUUGUUUUAUUUGUCUAUAUCCUAGAUUCGCAGCUGGACACAUCCUUCUACACUGUAUGCAAACAUGCAACAUCAUUACACACAGUACAAGGAGUCAGACUGGCAUAUUAGGAGCAAAGGAACCCAGGCAGUAGCAUCGUUUCACAAUGUUUCCAUCACCAUCAUCAGUGGAUGCCUUUGCCGUCCGUAGCCUGAGAUUUCAGAUUUGCAGCAAAAAAAAUUUGAUUUUCUCAUUUAUUGGAAUGCUGUGCAGGUAUUUGUACCUUGCAGCCAUCCAUUACAAUGUCACCAAGCCGUAACAAAAGCAGGAGAGGGAAAGUACAAGGCUAUGUUCCCAAAACACACAAGUGACAUACUGUAAGCAGUAAUGUUUUAUUUCAAAUACAUUCAUAAUUAAAAACUUAAUGUAUGA